AAAAAAAGGUAAUACUGAUCGUUGCUCAGUGUCAGAUUAUGAUAUUCUUGUUAUUCAGUGCUUUGUAUGUUUUGUAGUGUAAUUCGCCCAUAGGUCAUGGUAACAAUGUGGUAGAUGAUUUUUUUUUUAAAAAAAGUUUGGUUUGUUCUUUCACUGGAUUCUUCUGCUGUUUAUUCUUACAAUUCGAUGUGGUGGCGGAAGAGGAUGAGCGACACAGACCAUAGUUGCCCAGACCUUUCGAUUAGUGAAAGUGAAUCUCAUCAAGAACCUUUAACAUAAAGAGAACUGGAAGCCAUUAGUUGAGUAGGUUUGUGUGCAUAAAGAGCUAGAGCACAUCAUUACCCUUUGUGUCUAAGGAGCUUUCUUUUUUAGGUCCAUAGACGAUACUUGUAAUUAUUUUACACUUGUGCAAAAGAGAAGCAACUUUCCCCCCUCAGAGCAGAGUGAAAUGACAGAAGAGAGCCAAUGAGGCUUGUACUAAUUCGCUGGGUUGUAUUAUGAUUAUACACCAAAGUUCCUUUUUACCUUCAAGAUGAUUCGUCAAGCAAGCGUGUGCACAUACUUUUUGAUGUUCCCCAUUAUCUCUAAUGAUUUCUUAAGCUGCGUGAGCAAUCAACCUCGAGUCCGACUUUACUAUAAGGUGAUAUGAACCGCCAAAAAGAAGUUAUAGGGGCAACUAAUUUAUGCUUUGCCUCCAGAUUCUUUGAUGUGAACUUCCACGAUUUUUACUAAGGGCUAUUACUGUUUUUCUUAAUAUCCACAUUUCUGGAGGUUAGGGCCUGCUUAAUUUUUUAUCUACUUGCUGCACUUUCUUACAAUACUUUGUAAGGCAUAUAUCUCUAAGCAUAAUAAUCUUAAUUACCAAGUUAAAAGAUCUCUUUGCCUCUUUAUGGCUCUUUAGUACCCUUUUUUUUGGCUGCAAAACAUAAUCCAUGAUGUAAAUUGAUUAAAGAUAGGUGAAAAAUGUAAAAUCAUCCUCUUUUUACUUGAGCUUUUGGAAAACAUGAUGGUUGGAUUGAAAUAGUAAUAAUUGCCAAGAUAAUCUUGCCUUCGGCACUAUUAGUGUCAUGCAAGAACCCACAGCUCACGGCUACCCCCAAGAAGUUACAUCAGAAUCAAACGCAUAGAGCCAAUCUACAGUGAGAUGGAUUCUGGUUCUAAACAAAAAUGCUUGGCAGCACAUCCUCAUACGAGAUUUGGAAUAUUAUCUUCAGUCAUUUCAGAACGCGAGUUCAAGAAAUUGGAUUUAUGCUCGUCAGGACAGCAGCUGAGCAUUACAUGGACCGCAGCAUCGACCAGCAGAAAUGGAUUUGGCACACUGACAUCACUCCUUGGAAUUUCCACAUUGCAACAAUCAGGACGACGUAAGCGAUCCAGGUGCAAGAUCUGUGAAGGAUACAAUGUCAAGAAUGUCUAAUUUCAGUUCAGAUGAUGGAUCAUGCAUGUGAAGAUGGGGGUGAUAUUUACGACAGGUGACCUGCACGGCGGCACCUAUGUCAGUGAUAAAAAAUGUCAAAGACCAUAAUGCUGUUUCCAGCUGAAAUUGAGAAGAUUCAUUAGAUCUAGUGCGCAUUUAGAGUUUUAUUAGUCUUACUCUUACUCUUCCUAUCACAGAACUACCAUUAGCACAAAUUAUUGUUUCUUCAAAACGACAGGUACAAGGUACAGGUAUGUCCUUUUGAGACUGUGUAGGUGCAUCCAGGCGAGGUUUGCUCUCACCAUUCAAGUUGGGGAAUGAGUUGUACUCUACUAGUUGAGUCUAUCACAAAGCUUUCGAUGUCAACUGCGAGUUCAUUGUCGUUGUGCUUUUUUGUCUUUAUGCACCUUAAGCAUGACUGUAAUGGCCGACCCGGCAAAUCUAAGACCGGGAUUAGGGAUAAUUUGAUGGGUAAACUCAGAUGAUGGGUGGUGUCUGCUGCAGCCCCUGGAACUAAAGAAAGUGAUGGUGCUGAAUGCUGGGUCAUUUUCCAUGCUACAUUCACCUACAAACGUUACCUUUUAGAUCUGCCUUUUUGGGCGUUCGCAUGCGUUUGGUUGUGACUAUAAUUGUACGCAUUUAUAUUUCUGGAGCUGUGUUUUUUCUUUUUCAUUACUUUUUUUUUUCUUUCCCUUAGAUUAUGGAUGGAUAUGUGAAGAACCAUUGGUGCAAGCAGGGUUGACAACCUGCUGAUAACUAGUUUCUCAGGUGAAGUUGUAAGAUACCAAAAAUGGCUGAAAUGUUUUAAAUUUUAAUUACGUGUUUGAUAGUUUCUCAGAUUUCUAAUCACUUUCCUUCCAGUCAGUUGGUGGAGCAGAAGGUUUUGAUUGGGACUUCAAAAGAAUUGUUCUGUUUCCUGCAAUGUCCCUGUAAAAAAUAUUGUUUUCCAAAAAGACCUUAAAUCAUGGCUCGUGAUAAUUUUUGAACUACAUGUUCCUGCAUUUCUUGAAAACAUGUGCAUUUCUACAGCAAUUUUGUCAUCUGUUGACUUUCUUUUAAUCAAUCAUUUUGCAGAUUUCCUGUUUUAUAGAUGGAUAUGAACGGAGCCAGGGUUCGGGAAACCAUCCAAAAAAACUGGCCUCUAAACUGGAACUGGACAGUGAGAAGAACUGUCUAGAUGUCACUGAGAGCGCACUGGCAAUACUGCAAGAGAGAACUGUGGAUUUAACUAGUGGCAAAAACAGAGGAUAAUGCCCACGUUGGAUCUUCGAUACAUUUUCCUUUGUACAAGUUGAUCCCACCGUUCAAACAGUGUUUGCA
This is a long non-coding RNA of Phragmites australis (common reed), 2737 nucleotides long. RefSeq lists it as uncharacterized. The record is from RefSeq and is a predicted model, not a curated record. NCBI's taxonomy places the organism in Eukaryota, Viridiplantae, Streptophyta, Magnoliopsida, Poales, Poaceae. The transcript is spliced from 4 exons.